RNAcentral lists this ribosomal RNA (588 nucleotides) under Dujonia zeylanoides. RNAcentral's name for it is "[Candida] zeylanoides partial large subunit ribosomal RNA". It matches the Rfam family "Eukaryotic large subunit ribosomal RNA", at positions 67 to 669 of the family's 3401-position model. The record is from RNAcentral. Lineage: Eukaryota; Fungi; Ascomycota; Pichiomycetes; Serinales; Debaryomycetaceae.
CACAGGGAUUGCCUUAGUAACGGCGAGUGAAGCGGCAAAAGCUCAAAUUUGAAAUCUAGCACUUUCAGUGUUCGAGUUGUAAUUUGAAGAAGGUAACUUUGGAAUUGGCUCUUGUCUAUGUUCCUUGGAACAGGACGUCACAGAGGGUGAGAAUCCCGUGCGAUGAGAUGUCCAAUUCUAUGUAAAGUGCUUUCGAAGAGUCGAGUUGUUUGGGAAUGCAGCUCUAAGUGGGUGGUAAAUUCCAUCUAAAGCUAAAUAUUGGCGAGAGACCGAUAGCGAACAAGUACAGUGAUGGAAAGAUGAAAAGAACUUUGAAAAGAGAGUGAAAAAGUACGUGAAAUUGUUGAAAGGGAAGGGCUUGAGAUCAGACUUGGUAUUUUGUGUUCCUUAUUCUUUUUGGAUUUGGUUCCUCACAGCUUACCGGGCCAGCAUCGGUUUGGAUGGUAGGAUAAUGACAUUGGAAUGUAGCUUUGCUUCGGUGAAGUGUUAUAGACUUUGUUGAUACUGCCUAUCUAGACCGAGGACUGCGUCUUUGACUAGGAUGCUGGCGUAAUGAUCUUAAGCCGCCCGUCUUGAACACCGGACCAA